Suncus etruscus (white-toothed pygmy shrew) is the source of this 191-nucleotide small nuclear RNA. RefSeq annotates it as U2 spliceosomal RNA. The record is from RefSeq and is a predicted model, not a curated record. NCBI's taxonomy places the organism in Eukaryota, Metazoa, Chordata, Mammalia, Eulipotyphla, Soricidae. The transcript has a single exon.
AUCGCUUCUCGGCCUUUUGCCUAAGAUCAAGUGUGGUAUCUGUUCUUAUCAGUUUAAUAUCUGAUACGUCCUCUAUCUGAGGACAAUAUAUUAAAUGGAUUUUUGGAACUGGGAGUUGGAAGAGGAGCUUGCUCCGAACCAUCUAUGCAUCGACCUGGUAUUGCAGUACCUCUGGGAAAGGUGCACACAAA